RNAcentral lists this long non-coding RNA (263 nucleotides) under Bos taurus (domestic cattle). RNAcentral's name for it is "long non-coding RNA NONBTAT011755". The record is from RNAcentral. Lineage: Eukaryota; Metazoa; Chordata; Mammalia; Artiodactyla; Bovidae.
GUUCAGUUAAGCCUAUUUGACAAAAGAAAGUACUGAUCUAUGGAUAGUAGCUAGAAAAAAAAAGUACAGCAUCAGGCCUCAACAUCUCCAUACCUGUCACUAAUGGGAUCCCCAUUCACAGAGUCACAAUGAAGGCCAGACCCCAACAGCCAUGGACACUGAGUUUAUUUGACUCCAGAUUUAGUACUUAAUGAGGCAAUAUUAACUUCCAUAGUAAUUUUUAUUGCUGAUAAUGCAUAGAGCAACUAUUAAUCUCCAGACAA